AUUCUAAAUCUUAUACAUCUUCAAAAAUGUAUUAAAGAACUAUAUAUAUUGUGACUUCCUUCCAGACAAUAGCGAAAUUAUUCAAAAUAACUCUAAUUAAUCAUGAAAUGACUAAAAUAACUCAUAUAAUUUUGAAAUAACUAGAAUAACUCUUGAAACAUGUAAAUUUACGAUUUUACCAUUACUAAUAAUUAAACCAUAAUUUUUUUAAAAAGAAAUACACUUUAAUUUUAAGAAAUGAAAAAAGAGAAACACUUUACUUUUGUAGGGUUUCUCCACCAAACGCCCUCCUCCUCGUGUCCUUCACCUCCAUCUUCGACGGUCAUUUCUCCGUCACAAUCGGCUUCGUCUCCAUCACCCUACCAUAACUCGACUCUGUCUCCUACAUCCUCCACUUGAACUCACCUUUUGUCUCUCUGUUUCUCGACAAACCCGAAUCGAUUUCACUUCACUCACUUCUGGCUUCAGUUGCAACGUACUCUAAUCUAGAAUGAGAGGCGUUAGAAGAUAUUUCUUGAAGCUGGGUGGACCAAAGGUUUCAGCUUGAGAAGACAAUGAAGAUUCUUCCUGGUGGUGGAGCUGAUGAAAGCAAAAUAAGCGUUGAACAAGUCAAAUGAACUCUGACUCAAUACGUAUUCCUUUAUCAAAGUUUCGAUAUCUGACCCUGAUGGAAUGCUCAAAGCUUCUAGCUUUACAUCACUGAGCUGCGGAGAGAGAGCUGUGUACAAGAAAUACUCUUAAGAUCGAGAACGGCGUAGGUGUUGCUUUAGUUUCAUCAGCCAAGUCUCUCUUGAGUGCUGCUCCUCUUUCUUUAUGCUCAAGUGAUUUGACGGGAAAAGAGUCGUUCCUCAUAUUUGAAAACUUUUGUUAUAAGUUCGUAAUGAAUUCUUUUUUGUAUUGGUUCAACUUUUCUAUGAUUAAUAAAUAAGCUUUAUGAUUGCCU
Molecule: long non-coding RNA, 943 nt
Organism: Brassica napus (rape)
Lineage: Eukaryota; Viridiplantae; Streptophyta; Magnoliopsida; Brassicales; Brassicaceae
Exons: 3
Source: RefSeq, a predicted model, not a curated record